Long non-coding RNA from Cephus cinctus (wheat stem sawfly), 3880 nucleotides. RefSeq lists it as uncharacterized. The record is from RefSeq and is a predicted model, not a curated record. Lineage: Eukaryota; Metazoa; Arthropoda; Insecta; Hymenoptera; Cephidae. The transcript is spliced from 7 exons.
CGUUUCAAUGUGUGACGACGCGAUACGGUCGCCUGUUCAAGAAAAUCACAGCGGCUCCAUUGGAAAUCGACAGGUUUCCACAAUGUACCGCCAGAGAGAAAAGAACGUUAAGAGAUGUGAAAGUGUCUCUGCGAACGAAGAGUACCAUUAACGUUACGCGAUUGCGAUUUCAUUAGGUUUGACUUUCGAGUAAUCGACAUUUCACGAAAUUAACCCCGGCGAAUCGUAAAUUAUCUUCGAGGCUUCCGGCAGUGCCUCUUCUCACCUGCCAACUAAACUUGACAAGAAAUUUUUUUACCGACCAUAGAAACAUACAUAACACUUACUCAGUCUUCAGUAAACUUUAUAAAAUCGAAUCGGCCACUUUAACGAUCUAUUAAUUUAUCCAGAUUUCUAUGACAGUUAUCCCUUCGCACAUUAACGAAAAACGUUCGAAUUCCGUAUUACAAAAUUGCAUCUUACUCCACUGCCAUCUAGCUGUCGCAACAGGCAUCAAACGUCAGCAUCGAUAGACUCGUGAACUGCUCUGGUAUGUUUAUUCACUCUACAAAAAUCCCUAGGAGUUCUAAAUAGAAAACAAUGAAGUUUUUAAUCUCUAGUCUUAGGAAAGCUAGCAGUGUAAAUACAAGAUGGGCGUAUCUGGAGCGCAUCGCGUGUAUAUUGGCGUGACUAUCCUUCGGAUGCCAAUCACACUCGGUGUUAGUAAGCGAAGUAACGGGAUCAGACUAUGCCAGAUAUAUAGAACCAGAGCCCAACCCAGCGACACACCGGGCCCACCUAUAGAUACAAUACGCAGCCUGGAGGUCAUUCGAGAACAAGGUCGAGAUACGUCUCUGUGAUACACGUAGUGGUCCACCCACAUGAACAAAAACCUCCUGAGACCUUAACAGAUAAAUUUUGGUCUCCCUAUUACUUUUCCGGAAACACCACAGGAAAUUGUUGAAAAUGGUAUGUUAAUGCAUUGAUGAAAUAUAAAUGGUCAAAAUCUUGUCUGUCUACGUUACUAAUUUACACUGAACGGGAAUCGCUUGAAGUUGUGCAACAGUACAAUUGGCAUUUGUAAUAUAAAAUAUUGCUUAUACCACUGGCUGCAGAUUGUACAAUCUGGUAGUGCCAAAUCAGCAGUUGGCAUAGUGUACAGUUAGACUUUUACAUCUUGACAGAUGUCAAAUUGAUUUUAUGUAACACCAAAUAAAUACAUAAUCAAAUGAAGAUACGAAUACGCGUACCAAGGAUCGCGAUACCACACGCUUAUAUGUAUAUGGCUUGGACAAUAUGCAGGCCACUUUCACCAUAAAGCGAGAUUGCUGCAAGAGACAGUAUCAUCGAGAUCAGCGUCCUGAAAGACACGUAGAUCCCAAGAAGAUGUACUCUGGGCUGGCGACCGAUGAGUUCUCAAGAAUCGUCAAGAGUCCUGGAGGUGCUAGAGCGAGCAAUGCCCGACCACUCGCAUACCCGGUUAGAUGAGUACUCUGAUUGUCCGCUAACUUCACGAAACGACAGGCAAUUUCUCUCGCGAGCGACCCAGCCGUACGGGGGGAUUGUCGUGCGACGAAGUAGCGAGGCACCAGUCUCCUGCAUGUGGCUGCACUUUCACGUCUUACCGGUUACCAGCGUAAAAUUGCCCCUGCAUCCACGUGACCGAUGCCCUUAGACAAUGCGGAUGGAUAAAAAGCUCAUUUUUGAUUGACAAAAAAGACAUAAAAUCGACACGGUAUUUAAUUAUGCAAAAUCAUUUAGUUCUGCAGGUUAUCUCAUAACUGCGGUGCAGGGUUAAUCGAGAACAAUGGUACAGGGAGAUCAAUGGGAUGGAUAAGAGCGAUUUGUCGCGCCGUUUGCCGUGUAGUGUGCAAUUACGCGAAAUUGGUAUAAACGAUUAUUCCUGGAGCAGCGCGAUGAGCGCGUUCAGUUUGAAUUCAACUAAAGCGAUGCUACCACCGAGUAUCUUUGUUACCUGAUAUACAUAAGGAAUAUCGUGACAUUGGUACAGUGACGUAUUUCAAACCGGUCGCUGGUUGACCGCACAUGUGUAUCACAGUGAAUAUAUAUUUGAAAGGACCAAGCAGAGACUGUAAUCUAGAUCCAGAAGAAUUUAUUAACCUUGAAAGGAUAGAAUGUGAAGGUAACUUAAGCCAAUUAAAAACUCACCUGCACCGUUCACUUCUGCUCCCAAUGAUCAGCAAACGGUCCCUGGACGUAGACGUUCACCCAGACUCCGUCCGGUUACUCUACCUCAUCUCCUUUGCCGAAGAGACGCCGAGGAAGAUUCUUUUGCUGUCUUAACGGAGAAACAACAACACAAAUAAGUGUCAAAACCGAAGGACGCUCGAAUGUGAAUUAUUGGUACGUGCAAACCGCGCGAGCGUCGACCAGCGAUUAGCGACCUGGUGAAUGUGCGCCUGAAGAGUGGCCUGGUAGAGCUCCCACUGGCCAAAACACCGUUGACACCGGUCCUCAAUGGAUGUGGGUCGUUCGUUGUGAACGCGGGUCGCUCGUUGUGAACGCGGGUCGCUCGAGCGAAAAUCCUGACAUUAAGAGUUUGGAUUGUCCGUGAGUCUAUUCUCAAUUCGUAACCGGGAAGACGAUAUCCCUUUAGCCAUUCCCAACAAAAUCUAUUCGCUAUGGUUUAGUGCAGAGUAGCAGGAUUUAUUUUAUAGAGCGCAUAAUAUCCUGACCUUAUAUAGAAAAAAGAUAAACAUAGAUUCUGUGUAACAUUUUUAAAACGUUAUAACGGAUGCUGUUUAAUUUACUAAUUUUCGCCCAAGGACAAAUGUUUCCUAUAUGCUUUCUUAGCUCGUUAACAUAAUUCAUGGAAUAAUUAAAAGCACGACACUCGUUAAGAUUUCUUAUCCGACAGUCCAAAUUCUUAGAUUACAAAUAAGAAAGUAGCCUGCACAUAAAGCUUCUGAGCAAAAUUAAAUUGCCUGGUGUAUUUACACUUUUUCAAUUAUUCUCAACGCACAUCGCUAUCAUUUCUGAAGCAAUUAUACGGUCUCACGCAUUUAGACUCCUUAUUAUAGCUGUGUGUGCUCUGGCAGACCUCUUCAAGCAAAUUAGCCUAAACUAAAGUACACUUAACCUCUUCGUGGUAACACGCUCUGACAUUUACAAGUAGAAGUAAUUGUGUACACGUUAUUUCAUAUGUCUUAUUGGUUUACCAGAAACGUUUACGAUUUUUCUUCUCAUUAGAAGCUCGGAUGACUUAUAUGGUUAACAUCGACUUAACUGACUGCCGAUAAGUAGGAGUUCUUUACUUUUAAAACUGAGCAAACUUCAGUAUCAAUAAUAGCAUUUCAGAAUCCGUGACAUUGUUUCUGUAUCGAUUCAAAGAAAAUUUCUAGCCAAAGGACAUAACCUUUUGAGAAGCAUAAAGAAACCGUCGCGUAAUCGGAAUUCCAAAGGAUGUAUAGGUCAGUAGUCGAAGAAACGUCUGUAGUUAAUUAACCGAAGAGAUACUGUCGACGCAGUCUAAGUAACGGUCCAGAGUAGAAUAGUUGAAGCGUCUAACGAUUACGUCAAGAAGUAACAGCGUCGUUCUAACGGUUAAACGGCGACGCUUGGCGUCACUCGAAUAAGGCGCUUGAGACGCUAUACGCUUACAUGGAAUAGAUACAUAUUGCUACUGCUGGAUGAUGAUGAUGGUUAAUCAAGGAUACAUUAAAAUUUCCAUCAAUCAUCUGAAGAUACAUAAUUCCGUUUGACAGAUAAACACAGCAGUAAGAAACAUGGCCGCCGUUGUAAAUAUACUCUAAAAGGUUACACACAGUUUCUUUUUUUAGACUUACUCGUAUACUUUAUUUCAUAUGGACAAUUAAACGAUACAUAUACAUGUGUGUACGAAUUACGUGUCUUCUUAUCAAUAAAUUCUAAUACAUCUCGA